This 524-nucleotide ribosomal RNA is filed under the name uncultured bacterium. Its description in RNAcentral is "partial 16S ribosomal RNA". It matches the Rfam family "Bacterial small subunit ribosomal RNA", at positions 28 to 523 of the family's 1533-position model. The record is from RNAcentral.
GACGAACGCUGGCGGCGUGCCUAAUACAUGCAAGUCGAACGAAGCUGUUUUAACUGGUGCUUGCACCGACUUAAACAACUGAGUGGCGAACGGGUGAGUAACACGUGGGUAACCUGCCCCAAAGCGUGGGAUAACAUUUGGAAACAGAUGCUAAUACCGCAUAACCACAGAAACCACAUGGUUUCUGUGUCAAAGAUGGUUUCGGCUAUCACUUUGGGAUGGACCCGCGGCGUAUUAGCUAGUUGGUAAGGUAAUGGCUUACCAAGGCAAUGAUAAGUAGCCGAACUGAGAGGUUGAUCGGCCACAUUGGGACUGAGACACGGCCCAAACUCCUACGGGAGGCAGCAGUAGGGAAUCUUCCACAAUGGACGAAAGUCUGAUGGAGCAACGCCGCGUGAGUGAAGAAGGUUUUCGGAUCGUAAAACUCUGUUGUCAGAGAAGAACGUGUGCGAGAGUAACUGCUCGUGCAGUGACGGUAUCUGGCCAGAAAGCCAUGGCUAACUACGUGCCAGCCGCCGCCGUAA